AUUUUGGUGGCUGAAUCUUAGGCGAUAGAUUGUAAAUCUUUUUAUGGCGUUGUACGCCCCAAGACC
This 66-nucleotide transfer RNA is filed under the name Placida sp. 1 NY-2013. RNAcentral's name for it is "tRNA-Tyr". Lineage: Eukaryota; Metazoa; Mollusca; Gastropoda; Limapontiidae. The record is from RNAcentral.